AAGGUAGCUUGCUACUGGACCUAGCGGCGGACGGGUGAGUAAUACUUAGGAAUCUGCCUAUUAGUGGGGGACAACGUUCCGAAAGGAGCGCUAAUACCGCAUACGCCCUACGGGGGAAAGCAGGGGAUCUUCGGACCUUGCGCUAAUAGAUGAGCCUAAGUCGGAUUAGCUAGUUGGUGGGGUAAAGGCCUACCAAGGCGACGAUCUGUAGCGGGUUUGAGAGGAUGAUCCGCCACACUGGGACUGAGACACGGCCCAGACUCCUACGGGAGGCAGCAGUGGGGAAUAUUGGACAAUGGGCGCAAGCCUGAUCCAGCCAUGCCGCGUGUGUGAAGAAGGCCUUAUGGUUGUAAAGCACUUUAAGCGAGGAGGAGGCUUACCUAGCUAAUACCUAGGAUAAGUGGACGUUACUCGCAGAAUAAGCACCGGCUAACUCUGUGCCAGCAGCCGCGGUAAUACAGAGGGUGCAAGCGUUAAUCGGAAUUACUGGGCGUAAAGCGCGCGUAGGUGGCCAUUUAAGUCAAAUGUGAAAUCCCCGAGCUUAACUUGGGAAUUGCAUUCGAUACUGGAUGGCUAGAGUAUAGGAGAGGAAGGUAGAAUUCCAGGUGUAGCGGUGAAAUGCGUAGAGAUCUGGAGGAAUACCGAUGGCG
This 650-nucleotide ribosomal RNA is filed under the name uncultured Acinetobacter sp. RNAcentral describes it as "bacterial SSU rRNA". It matches the Rfam family "Bacterial small subunit ribosomal RNA", at positions 72 to 717 of the family's 1533-position model. The record is from RNAcentral. Lineage: Bacteria; Pseudomonadati; Pseudomonadota; Gammaproteobacteria; Moraxellales; Moraxellaceae.